CGUGGCCCUGCUCUUCUCCAUCCUGCUGUGCCUCCCGGCACAGGCCAAGGCACUCCUGGAAGGAACCCAAGAUGAUCUCCAGGAGGUGGAUGUAGUCAAUGUCGACAUCCUGAAGAC
Long non-coding RNA from Corvus hawaiiensis (hawaiian crow), 117 nucleotides. RefSeq lists it as uncharacterized. The record is from RefSeq and is a predicted model, not a curated record. The transcript has 3 exons. NCBI's taxonomy places the organism in Eukaryota, Metazoa, Chordata, Aves, Passeriformes, Corvidae.